Molecule: long non-coding RNA, 691 nt
Organism: Ostrinia furnacalis (Asian corn borer)
Lineage: Eukaryota; Metazoa; Arthropoda; Insecta; Lepidoptera; Crambidae
Exons: 2
Source: RefSeq, a predicted model, not a curated record
CUUUUAGACAAGCAAAGUAUCUUAUUAUGCGUUAAAGCGAUAAUAACUAUGCCUUUAUAAAUGUAACACAAUAAUAAUUACAUUGUAAUCAAUGUAACAGAAAAUUAUUGACGCAUCAAAAAAGAAAUCGGGCCGCUUGUAAUAACAACCGGACUAGUAGACUUUGGUUAGUCAAAGAACGAAUCAACCACAUAAAAUAAACUAUGUAUUAUGUAGGUACCUACCAGUACUACCACUACUUGUAACCUUUAGUUUAGAUUAAGGACAUUUUUUAAUAAUACCAAAAAAUAAUGCGAUAUUAUUUUACGAAUAGAUAACGCUGCACAAACUCAUAAUAAUGAAUGAGUCUUUCUUCCCUUUCUAUGAAGUAUAAAUUGAGAAUUAGUAUUUUGUUAUUUUUUCUUAAUAAAAAUUCAAUCAUCACAGUCAUAAUACUGAAGCUGACUGAAUCAAGGUGUCUGAAUAAAGACACGGAGUAGGAGCUUGGUUAAUAUUGUCUCAGAAAAUGUUAGACGCUUUGGUUUCAGUACAUGACAUAAACCUAUUUUUUGUUUCUUGAACUUUGUUUGAUAUUUAGUCAUAAUUCAUAUUUUAUCGUCUGGCGUAGAGAUUUCUACACGAUUAACAUGAAUUAAUUCCAAUUAAUUCGCCUUAGAAUGGCGACCAUUUUUUUUUAGACGUUAAUGCGUUU